CCUACGGGAGGCAGCAGUAGGGAAUCUUCCACAAUGGGCGAAAGCCUGAUGGAGCAACGCCGCGUGGGUGAAGAAGGUCUUCGGAUCGUAAAACCCUGUUGUUAGAGAAGAAAGUGCGUGAGAGUAACUGUUCACGUUUCGACGGUAUCUAACCAGAAAGCCACGGCUAACUACGUGCCAGCAGCCGCGGUAAUACGUAGGUGGCAAGCGUUAUCCGGAUUUAUUGGGCGUAAAGGGAACGCGGGCGGUCUUUUAAGUCUGAUGUGAAAGCCUUCGGCUUAACCGGAGUAGUGCAUUGGAAACUGGGAGACUGGAGUGCAGAAGAGGAGAGUGGAACUCCAUGUGUAGCGGUGAAAUGCGUAGAUAUAUGGAAGAACACCAGUGGCGAAAGCGGCUCUCUGGUCUGUAACUGACGCUGAGGUUCGAAAGCGUGGGUAGCAAACAGGAUUAGAUACCCCUGUAGUC
This 465-nucleotide ribosomal RNA is filed under the name uncultured bacterium. Its description in RNAcentral is "partial 16S ribosomal RNA". It matches the Rfam family "Bacterial small subunit ribosomal RNA", at positions 338 to 795 of the family's 1533-position model. The record is from RNAcentral.